Molecule: ribosomal RNA, 381 nt
Filed under: uncultured bacterium
Lineage: Bacteria
Description: bacterial SSU rRNA
Rfam family: Bacterial small subunit ribosomal RNA
Source: RNAcentral
UACGUAGGGUGCGAGCGUUAAUCGGAAUUACUGGGCGUAAAGCGUGCGCAGGCGGUUUGCUAAGACCGAUGUGAAAUCCCCGGGCUCAACCUGGGAACUGCAUUGGUGACUGGCAGGCUAGAGUAUGGCAGAGGGGGGUAGAAUUCCACGUGUAGCAGUGAAAUGCGUAGAGAUGUGGAGGAAUACCGAUGGCGAAGGCAGCCCCCUGGGCCAAUACUGACGCUCGUGCACGAAAGCGUGGGGAGCAAACAGGAUUAGAUACCCUGGUAGUCCACGCCCUAAACGAUGCCAACUAGUUGUUGGGGAUUCAUUUCCUUAGUAACGUAGCUAACGCGUGAAGUUGACCGCCUGGGGAGUACGGUCGCAAGAUUAAAACUCAAA